Molecule: long non-coding RNA, 4193 nt
Organism: Prinia subflava (tawny-flanked prinia)
Lineage: Eukaryota; Metazoa; Chordata; Aves; Passeriformes; Cisticolidae
Exons: 5
Source: RefSeq, a predicted model, not a curated record
UUGACAAGGUGGUACUUGUCUGAUGGUUGGACUUGAUGACCUUGGAGUCAUUUCCAGCCUUGGUGAUUCUGUGAUUCUCUGAUCCUCUACAGACUGCUGCCCAUGAUUACCUGAACGCUCUCCAGCUCCUGGUCGUGGAAGGUCCCCAGCACGGAUGGAUCAUGGAUAUGCUGUUUCACUUCAUUCCUUGCAACACUUAAACAAAUAUAGAAAAUUAAUAGAAUUGUCAAGACACUGGAAAAAAGCAACACUUGAAAGAGAAUUUUUACAAAUUGAUGAGCUGAGAGCUGAGCUGGUACCAGUAGAGUGGGAUCAAUCUGGAUUUCCACGUUUUUCGACCAUCUUUUAGACUGUUUCCUCAUGUUACAUGAGCCAGAGGGAGCCUGGAACUACACACAACUCGUUGUCAAAGAAACUUGCACCAUCACAAGGCAUCAGCUCUGUUCUCCAGAGACCAAAUCUCCAGACAAUCAGCCCAUUUUUACAGUGUGGAAGCUAAUUUUUGCAGCCUAGAAGCCAACCAAACAAAACAAGUCCUGCUGCUUCAGACAUGACAUCUUUCAGAUAGGAGAAAGAUUGAUUCCAGAAAUCUAUGAGCCUCCAAAACCACCACAGUGGGAUGAUACCCCACUUAUCCUCUGUUUCUGAUGGCACGGAGGAAAGCAGCUCUGUCCUCUUGCUGAGAAGGCACAGCAGCCUCACUUCUGACUCAACAAUCUUGGAUAGACAGCAGGUGACAACCCAGUGCCGAGGACACCUGGUCCAGCACAGCCAUUCCUCCUCAAACAGGUGGGAAUUCCCAAGCUUGGACAUCCUGCCCCACCAGAAGCUUUGGCCAUGGGACACACCCUCAGGUCUGUGCUGUCUUCACAGAGCCACUGAUGUGGAUGCCAGUCAUGAAACCACUUCUCUUGCCCACCCCCACCUGGCAGAAUAAAGCUGAGGGUCCAGGGCUGCAACAGAGGUGUUAACAAAACAUCAGUGAAACCAGUGGGACCAGUGCUAAACCCAGAGCCCAGAGCAAUACUUCAAGUGAGAGAAGCCAACAUGAUGAAUUGGGAUAGUGGGCAAUGCUGGACCUCAGCUCUUCCCUUGCUCCCCUCCCCUCAUAUUUAUAGGUUUCUAAUUUCCGCUGGAUAAUGAAUAUCGCUCUUCAUUAUAAUUAUGUUAAAAGGUACCAGCGUGAUGAUUCAGAAACCCUUGAAGAUAUAGUCAUAUUUUCAGCAACAGAUGGAUUUAACACUGCAGAUGGAGUGUUAAGAGUGCAGGUAAUAACAAACUCAGCAAUGUACUGUACUGAAAUAUAAUUGGAAAGUAUUAAUCAUAUAUUGGUUACUUCAGCUUCACUAAGUAGAUGUUUAAUUUUCAUCAAUCUUUUUACCAGAUUCCCGGAAAGAUUUCUGUGCAGACAGAGUGUGGCUUUAGGUGAAGCCAUUGCCCAAGUUAUUAAUGACUGAGACCUUGAUCUUGCAGGCAUGUGCCCAUGGCUUACCCAGGCAUGCAGAAUAAAAAUCAUUUGUGUUAAUAAGGCUGUCAGAGGGCCCUCAUUCAUAUGGCUGAAGUUUCAGCUGGUGACCAGUCAGUGGGAAAGCCCAGACCCUUCCCUUCAUGGGGGCUGCUGGAAAUCUGCCAGCAGGAACGGCUGCCUGCAGGAUUUGGGGUAGAACACAGCAAUUUGAAAAGCUUCACUUACAGGAGUGAACCAUCAGUCUAAGCCUUUGCAGGACUGGGAGUUAGAAUGUACACAAAAUGGGAGGGCAGUGCCAUUCCUCAUUAUUUUCUUUAAGUACAGACUUUUGAAUUAUCUGCAUAUUGAAUUAUCUGCAUACAGAGAAAUGUCUGCUGUUAUUCCCAUAAACCCUGUCAUCUUGCUGGGAUUUUUUAAUGCACUUCUUCAGAGAGGUUGUGUUUGAAGUCUGGAUUAUUCAGGGGAGUUUUUGCUCUGAGCAGACCAUGCAGGACCAGAGUAAUCAGUGAUGCCUGGUUGCAUGCCACGACUCUGAUUCUUUAAUUAAUGCUAUUUAUAACUAGGAUAUUAUUUGUAGGAUCGCAAAGUGGUCCCUGCUCCAGUGUGCCACCUGGGGACUCAGGGAAUGGGGAGUGUGGUAGGGCACAAUUCCAGCUCAUGCAAAAAUCCAUUUUAGACCAGGAAUAUAAAACAGGGCUUUGGUGACAAGAGAAACAUUAUUCUUUUGAAUAUGUUUUUUGUGCAUGGUUUAUGUUCACAUCCUUUUCAGUGGGUUCAGGCAUUUGGUGAGGCUGCAUCUCCACUGAUUUCCUUAGGAGGUUUUCUUUCCCUGGUGGGAGUGCACAGCCAUGGUGUUCCAUGAUGACCAUGGACUGACCAGAUGGACUGUUGUAAACAACAACAUAAGCAUUCAACACCUAAAUUUUAAGUUCCAUGAAAUACUUUGCCCAAAUGUUGCAGUCUUUUGCUGAACUAUUUAGAUUUUAGCUGUCCAUGAACCUUGAAAAUGUAAUGAAAACCUGGAAUUUUCUCUAGAAAAUCGACUCUCACAAGACAAUACAGUAUCUUUAUCUUGGCUGAUAAGAAAAAAGAAGAUCAGGUAAUAAAAUUCAACAUGACUGGAAAUAAAAUUGAGCAUGACUAGAAACCACAGGUGAGCGUGUUUAAUAAUGUGAAAUGAGUGUGCUGCCUCCUUCCUGACAGGCUUUUGUACUCCACAGAGAUACAAACAGGUACUGAUCGAUUGACUGUGGUAAUCAAAUAAAGCUGUGAGUAUAAAUGACUCUAAAUAUGAAGUCUCCUUAGGGGUACCAGUUGAGAUGACUUGUCUGUACCUCAGACCCCACACUGCUCAUGUGGGGAGAGGGACCUUGUUGCUAGACUGUGAAGAUAAGUAGUAUUUCUGUUUAAUUUUCAUUUACAUCUUGAAAUAAACUAUCCCUUGCCUUCCUUCCUGUGCUGUCUGUAUUCCAUGGACAAGCAGUGAGCCCUGGAGCUGCAGCAGGGAUUGCAGGCAGGGCUGGAUGUGUGCAGGAAGGAGCAGCCAGGAUCACCCUGAGUGUGCAGUGGAAGCCGAAGGUGUCGCACGGAGCUGACGAAUGUGGCUCCCCAGGCUCUGACUCGAGGGGUGACACAAAGGACAUGAGUCAUGGUGCAUCAGUUUUCCAAUCUGGAGAUAUUUCUCCCAUGUGCCAACUGGUAGGGUGGACUUUUCAUCUUACUGGCAAUGUUUGAACCCUCCUUCUCUGUUUUUUUUCCCUUCCUCACUUACGAGAAUUAAUUGAAUCAAAAAUAACGUAAAUUGUCAGGUGUCUCAGUUUUGAUUUAAAUAGUGUCUUUUAAAACUUGUUCUGCAUUUGUGGCACAGAGUUGUGUUGCUUGGGAGAGGUUCAGUCUCAGUUUUCACCAGCAGGACAGCACAUUUGGUACCCGUUUGUGAGGAACAGGUGGGUAAAGCACUGCAUUUACACAUAAUAAUAUAACUUAAUACAUAUUAAGAAGCUGUCUAGGUCUGUAGAGGAGAUACUGGGAGGCAAAAGAUUCCUUUUAAUAAAUCAUCUCAUACUUUGCUCUAAAAGGCUCAAACUUCAGCUCAACCAAAGAGCAUUGAGCAAAGGGGUGUAACUCAAAUCACUGGUACCUGUGUAAGCUGGAGAGCCUCUGUUCCUUCCCCAUUGUCAGCAGGACUUCCACAUGUUCCUGUGUGCCCUACAUCAUCUCAGGAUAUGCUGCUUGGUCUUUCCAGUUAAAGUGAUGAUGUUUUUAAUUUGUGAUUCAUGACAGAGUGCUUCAGAUGAAAAUCAUUAUUCAAGCAAAAUCAUGAACACAUGCUUUAUGAAGGCAUUUUAUUUUCUAGCUCAGACUGUGUGAAGUUUGCUGGAUGUAUCAGAAAAUAAAGGUAAAUAUCUUGUUUUUCAAAACUUGAUAAAUUAUUGACAAAGUAAAAAUGCCCUGAGUUAAUCAAUCUGAUGUUUUUUCCACCAUUUGUCCCUGGAGGAUUUAGAUGUAGUGGAUCGUGCUUUAGUGCUGGUCUGCUCUCAUCAUUUGCAAGAGCGAAAAUAAACAUUCCUGCCUCUCAGCUCCUCAUCAGUGUCUGAACUGGAAUGAAUCAGCUAUUGAGCUGAAGGAAAUGAAAUAUAAAUUGACAUGAAGAAAAUGUUCUCCCUGCAGCUGCAGAAGCAGCUAUGGUUGUCAAAAGCUGAUUUUUAUCCUUUCAAAGACCAGU